ACAAUGGAGAGUUUGAUCCUGGCUCAGGAUGAACGCUGGCGGCGUGCCUAAUACAUGCAAGUCGAACGCUUCACAUAUGUGAAGAGUGGCG
Molecule: ribosomal RNA, 91 nt
Filed under: Faecalibacillus faecis
Lineage: Bacteria; Bacillati; Bacillota; Erysipelotrichia; Erysipelotrichales; Coprobacillaceae
Description: Bacterial small subunit ribosomal RNA
Rfam family: Bacterial small subunit ribosomal RNA
Source: Rfam by way of RNAcentral